CUACGGGACGCAGCAGUGGGGAAUAUUGCACAAUGGAGGAAACUCUGAUGCAGCAACGCCGCGUGGAGGAUGACACUUUUCGGAGCGUAAACUCCUUUUAUAUAGGAAGAUAAUGACGGUACUAUAUGAAUAAGCACCGGCUAACUCCGUGCCAGCAGCCGCGGUAAUACGGAGGGUGCAAGCGUUACUCGGAAUCACUGGGCGUAAAGAGCGUGUAGGCGGAUAGAUAAGUCAGGAGUGAAAUCCUAUGGCUCAACCAUAGAACUGCUCUUGAAACUGUCUAUCUAGAAUAUGGGAGAGGUAGAUGGAAUUUCUGGUGUAGGGGUAAAAUCCGUAGAGAUCAGAAGGAAUACCGAUUGCGAAGGCGAUCUACUGGAACAUUAUUGACGCUGAGACGCGAAAGCGUGGGGAGCAAACGGGAUUAGAUACCCUUGUAGUC
Molecule: ribosomal RNA, 439 nt
Filed under: uncultured bacterium
Lineage: Bacteria
Description: partial 16S ribosomal RNA
Rfam family: Bacterial small subunit ribosomal RNA
Source: RNAcentral